Molecule: ribosomal RNA, 264 nt
Filed under: Triticum aestivum (bread wheat)
Lineage: Eukaryota; Viridiplantae; Streptophyta; Magnoliopsida; Poales; Poaceae
Description: partial small subunit ribosomal RNA
Source: RNAcentral
AAGGGUGAGGGUGGAAUGGGCUUCUGUGACCUGAGGUUAUUUAAUCAAGCUCUCCUGACAAAACAAGCUUGGCGUUUAUUGGUUAACCCGGACUCGCUAUGUGCUAAGGUAAUAAAGGCAAAAUAUUAUCCUCAGGGGCAUCUUCUUGACACGGUUUUUCCUCAGUCAACCUCAGUGACAUGGCAAGGUAUUAUGCAUGGUCUGGAACUCCUUAAAAAUGGUGUCAUUUGGAGGGUGGUUGAUGGAGGGAAUAUCAAUAUCUGA